Molecule: ribosomal RNA, 467 nt
Filed under: Acanthobothrium brevissime
Lineage: Eukaryota; Metazoa; Platyhelminthes; Cestoda; Tetraphyllidea; Onchobothriidae
Description: partial 16S ribosomal RNA
Rfam family: Bacterial large subunit ribosomal RNA
Source: RNAcentral
CGCCUGUUUAUCAAAAACAUUUCUAUAUCUUAGUUUUUAUAGUAGUGCCUGCUCUAUGUUAAUAUAAAUGGCCGCAGUAUCUUGACUGUGCGAAGGUAGCAUAAUUAAUUGCCUUAUAAUUGAAGGCUUGUUUGAAUGGUUUGACAAGGUAAAUACCAACAUCUUGUAUUUAGUUGAAAUUGAUUAAGAGGGCACAGAAUCCUCUAUCAUUAAUUAGACGGAAAGACCCCGGGAUCUUUCUUUUUUGUCUGGGGCAGAUAAAGGUUUUUUACUUGCUUUAAGACCCUUAUUAAAGUUUGGUGGGUUAAGUUACCCCGGGGAUAACAGUGUAAUAGUCUACAAGAGGCCAUAUCGAAUAGACUGUUUGCUACCUCGAUGUUGACUUAGGUAAAUAAUGUAAGCGCAGUAGUUUAUUUUUAAGGUCUGUUCGACCUCUAUUACCUCCAUGAUCUGAGUUCAGACCGGAG